UACGUAGGGACCGAGCGUUGUCCGGAAUCAUUGGGCGUAAAGAGCGUGUAGGCGGCUUGUUAAGUCUUGCGUGAAAUCUCGGGGCUCAACCCCGAGCGGUCGUGAGAAACUGGCAGGCUAGAGUGCGGGAGAGGAGAGUGGAAUUCCUGGUGUAGCGGUGAAAUGCGCAGAUAUCAGGAGGAACACCGAUGGCGAAGGCAGGUCUCUGGGCCACUACUGACGCUGAGAAGCGAAAGCAUGGGGAGCGAACAGG
RNAcentral lists this ribosomal RNA (253 nucleotides) under uncultured bacterium. RNAcentral describes it as "partial 16S ribosomal RNA". It matches the Rfam family "Bacterial small subunit ribosomal RNA", at positions 524 to 776 of the family's 1533-position model. The record is from RNAcentral.